This 1239-nucleotide long non-coding RNA is filed under the name Piliocolobus tephrosceles (Ugandan red Colobus). RNAcentral's name for it is "lncRNA (ENSPTEG00000009633.1)". Lineage: Eukaryota; Metazoa; Chordata; Mammalia; Primates; Cercopithecidae. The record is from RNAcentral.
AAUUUUUUGAAAUGCUAUGUUUUAAAAGUACAUACAUAUAUUAUAUAUGUAUAUGUUUUAUUUGCAUAAUUUUACUUUUGCUUUUUAUUUUUUACUUAUAUUAACCAAAAAAAAAAAAAUUAUGUUUGUUUUUAUACAAUUUUUUUCUUAAACGCAUAAAGUAUAUACAUAUAUAAGUAUACACUGCAACAUACAUUUUUUUUUUGUUUUUAAAUUGCUGUACCAUUAGUAAAUUUUUUCUUUACUAUUCAUUCAUUCACGCAUUAACAGUAUCAAUCCAGUAUAUACAUACAUAUAUAACAUACACACAUAAAUACAUACAUAAAUACAUACAUAAAUACAUACAUGUGUUAUAAUUAGUAGUAGUAAUCACAAUCAAACAGUAUAUAUAACUAUAUACAGAAUGAAAACAAAAAAAAUAAAACAAAAACCAAAACAUAAAAUAUGUUUUGUUGACAAUUUAAAUGACUCAGUUGCUCCCAAGACCAGUAUCAAGAAAAACAGAAUAUUCAAAAUACAAAAAACAAAUAACAUCUCUUUAAAAAAUAAGAAACAAAAAGAAAUAAAGAAAAUAAUAGGAUUAGCAAAAAAGUUAAAAUUAAAAAAAAAGUUUCAGAAUAAUAAUAACUUAGAAGAUGAUGAUUACAUAAGAAGUGAUGACGAUUAUUAUAGUGAUGAGGAAGACCAUUAUAUAAAUGAUGAUUAUAAAAAAGAAGCUAAUAAGUUUUCAAAUUUUGAUUGUGAUAGUGAUGUAGAACAGUAUAUAAAUGAUAAAGACCUUUUAGAUAAUUGUAUCACUUGUACUACUACUUAUAAUGCAAGUAAUACAAACAAUUUUGAAAAUGAUUGUGAUUCCAAUGACAUUUUAAAAAAUUAUAAUGUACAAAUAAGUAACAAAGGUCUUAAGCAAGUUGAUCAAAAUGAUAAUAAGGAUAAACCUGAACAAGCAACGGAUUUUAACAGUGUCGUCGAAAAGUGUUAUAAAACAAUAGGAGAAAGUUUAGCUAUUUAUAAAAGUGGUAAAUUGCAUCAGGCACUUACAUUAUUAGUAAAAUCACCACGAUGGUUGGAAUUACUUAUGAUUACACAGCCACCGAAAUGGUCAACACAAGCUACUUUCGAAGUUACUAAAUUGUUUUCAUCUAAUUUAAGAGAAAAAGAAGUUGCUCAAUUUUAUGAGUAUAUUUUAUUACCUUUGAUAGUUCAACAUACAAUAGAAAAUAAACGACUUAAUCCGAU